Molecule: long non-coding RNA, 1166 nt
Filed under: Sinocyclocheilus grahami
Lineage: Eukaryota; Metazoa; Chordata; Actinopteri; Cypriniformes; Cyprinidae
Description: lncRNA (ENSSGRG00000050309.1)
Source: RNAcentral
AUCUCUCUCUCUCUCACACACAUAUCUCUCUUUCUCUCUCUCACACACAUAUCUCUCUCACACACACAUAUCUCUCUCUCUCUCUCUCACACACAUCUCUCUCUCUCUCUCUCUCACACACACAUUUCUCUCUCUCACACACAUCUCUCUCUCUCACACACACAUAUCUCUCUCUCUCACACACACACACAUAUUUCUCUCUCUCACACACAUAUCUCUCUCUCUCUCACACACACAUAUCUCUCUCUCUCACACACACAUCUCUCUCUCUCUCUCUCUCUCACACACACACAUAUAUAUAUAAAUAUUAAUAACAGCAUUACUAUUAUUAUUUAAAAAGGAAAAAGAGAUAUGAUAUGUAAAAUAAAUUAUAUUAUGUGCACAAUUUUUUUUAAAUGUAUCAUUAUCAUAUAUAAAUUAAUAUUUGUCAGGUUUUAUCAUAUAAAAUUAAAAUACAUGAAUCAUAAUACUACAAAAAAAAAGUAGUUGUAAAAAAUGAGUGACCCGUCAGUAAUCAGAGUAUCUUCAACAGAGCAUCAAGCUAGAAGAUUUGUGGUCUGUCGUUAUUUUGAUUGCACUCUCGUACAUCCUGUAAACAACAACUCGUGUCUAAACAAAAAGAGGAAAUCCUGAGAGAGCUUCACAUGAUGAGGGAGGAACAGCAUCCUGAACAAGCGCACAGCUUUGAGCAUUUCUUUUCAGAUUGACAGAAAGAGACACAGAAAGACUGAUGUGGAGGGCUCUAUUAGUCCUAUUUUCUCAGUGUCAGUGUGAUGGAGAGCUGUGUGCCAUGACUGUGAUCUUCUGAAGGAAAGCAUGGCAUUAACCACAGCAGAGUCUUACUCACAUGCACCUUUCUAGAGUCUGAAUCACCCAGACAUCUUCAAAUCUGACUGACUAGACCAAAAGCCUGACGCUAGCAAGAGCAGAUGAAGACUUCAUUUGACAGACACCAAUGAAAAUGCACUUCUUAUUUAUUCAGAGCAUCUCUACUUAAACAUGUCCAACCUCUGUUCCAAUAAAUGAUUUUAACAAUUCAACUGCAUCUUCAAACAGUGCCAUUUGAAAUAAACCCUUAAAUACUUUCUGUAUAAGGACACUGAGAAGCUCAUACAGCCCAUUUAUAGGAUAAUGAAUAUAUAAAUUCACAAUAUAUCACAAAUAAU